UACGUAGGGUGCGAGCGUUGCCCGGAUUUAUUGGGCGUAAAGGGCGCGUAGGCGGCCACGCACGUCCGUUGUGAAAUCGCCCGGCUCAACUGGGCGGGGUCAGCGGAUACGGUGUGGCUCGAGCAAGCUAGGGGGCAAUGGAAUUCCCGGUGUAGUGGUGGAAUGCGUAGAUAUCGGGAGGAACACCGGUGGCGAAGGCGGCGACCUGGGUAGAUACUGACGCUGAGGUGCGAAAGCGUGGGGAGCAAACAGG
This 253-nucleotide ribosomal RNA is filed under the name uncultured bacterium. RNAcentral describes it as "partial 16S ribosomal RNA". It matches the Rfam family "Bacterial small subunit ribosomal RNA", at positions 524 to 776 of the family's 1533-position model. The record is from RNAcentral.